RNAcentral lists this ribosomal RNA (492 nucleotides) under uncultured bacterium. RNAcentral's name for it is "partial 16S ribosomal RNA". It matches the Rfam family "Bacterial small subunit ribosomal RNA", at positions 29 to 507 of the family's 1533-position model. The record is from RNAcentral.
AGUGAACGCUGGCGGUAGGCCUAACACAUGCAAGUCGAACGGCAGCACAGUAAGAGCUUGCUCUUACGGGUGGCGAGUGGCGGACGGGUGAGGAAUACAUCGGAAUCUACUUUUUCGUGGGGGAUAACGUAGGGAAACUUACGCUAAUACCGCAUACGACCUACGGGUGAAAGCAGGGGAUCUUCGGACCUUGCGCGAUUGAAUGAGCCGAUGUCGGAUUAGCUAGUUGGCGGGGUAAAGGCCCACCAAGGCGACGAUCCGUAGCUGGUCUGAGAGGAUGAUAAGCCACACUGGAACUGAGACACGGUCCAGACUCCUACGGGAGGCAGCAGUGGGGAAUAUUGGACAAUGGGCGCAGGCCUGAUCCAGCCAUACCGCGUGGGUGAAGAAGGCCUUCGGGUUGUAAAGCCCUUUUGUUGGGAAAGAAAAGCAGCAGGUUAAUACCCCGCUGUUCUGACGGUACCCAAAGAAUAAGCACCGGCUAACUUCGUG